Molecule: long non-coding RNA, 1865 nt
Organism: Sapajus apella (tufted capuchin)
Lineage: Eukaryota; Metazoa; Chordata; Mammalia; Primates; Cebidae
Exons: 4
Source: RefSeq, a predicted model, not a curated record
GAGAAAUCAACUCAUCUGUUUUUAGGCACAGAGAGGGAAAGGAGGUGUUUUCCUGGUGAGUGAGGCUCCCUGAGGAUUUUUAUUCUGAACAUAAUAAAUGAUUUUCUACCUCUUUCUUGCACUCACAUCCAGUAGUACACUGGACUAGUCUUCUAUAGGGUUUUGGGAGCUGGUUGCUAGAUUUUCAGGAAGCUUGUAAGCCAGUUGUUAAGCACAGUCAUUAUUAAACAUCAAAAUUAAAUGUCACAUUAAAAACAUAAAUAAUAGCUUCCAGUUCCAAAAUGGUGGCCUAGAGGCAAGCUGCUUCACUCCCUACCACAGAAAACCAAAAACAAAUGUAACACGCCGAGACUUUCACCAGCAACAACCCAGAGUCCAUGGAUGAGGAUGAGACAGUUCCCUAGGCCACAGAGAAAUAGAAAAACUGAGCUGACAGCAGGAGAACUGGACUUACACAUCCCUAAUGCUCCUCUCUCCCUUUUUACCUGUCACCAAAUGCAUGGAAAAUCUUCCCACAACUCAUGAUUUCUACACUGGAAAAAGUGAAAUUGAGGUGAUCAAUCAGCUUCUCUACCUUCUUGGAUUCCCUGGAAGGAGACUUGUUCUUGCCUUAACCCACGGAAAGCAUCAUGAUUGACUGAAGGGAGAAAUAGCCCUGAGAACAGGCAGAGACAAAGGGGAGGCAGAACUACCAUCUCCAGCCUGGACGCUGUGCUCCAUAACUUGGCCAAAGGAGAUGCCAAAUCAAAGUGGCUGUUCAGCAGUACUGCAGGAAGAACAUUCUGCAGGUCCCCUGGGCACGAAUCCCUCGCCAGCCUUCACACACUGCAGGGAUAAUCCCUUCAGGACCUCCCCCAUUCAGGACAGGCAGUGCACAGACAGACCCUUUACUGGAGCAAAGCAAACCUGGGCUGUAGGUGCCACCUAGAGCCGAAAAGGAGGCAGCAAUCUAGGGACAGAUUCACUAAGCAAAUAUAGUCAAUAAAAAACAAAACUAACUGGACAGAGAAAACUGGAAUAAAUAACUAAUCCUUCAAUGCAAAGACAUAGAUGUAUACCGACAAGGAACAACUGCAAACAGGAACUAUGACCUCCCCAAAAGGGGACCCCAACAAGACCAUGAUUUGUAACCUCUCUGACAAAAAUCCAAAAGAGCAAUUUUAAGGAAAUGUAGUUAUAUGCAAAAUAACACAAAAAAGCAAUUCAGAAAUUUAUCAGAGAAAUUUAACAAAGAGAUUGAAAUAACAACAACAAUGAAAAUCAAACAGAAAUCCUGGACCUGAGAAAUACAUUUGCUGAAGUGAAGAACUCUUUAGAGGCUCUCAGCAGCAGAGUGAACCAAGCAGAAGAAAGAAUCUGUGAGUUAGAAGACUGGCUAUUUGAAAUUAUAAUCAGAUGAGAAAAAAUAAAAAAGGAAUAAAAAGGAAUGAAGGUUGCCUACAAGAUAUGGAAAAUUACCUCAAAGGACAUAAUAUAAGAAUUACUGAUGUUCAAGAAAGAGCUGAGCAAGAGCAAGGAGUGGAAAGUGUAUUCAAAGGAGUAAUAACAGGAAACUUUCCAAAACUCAAGAAAGAGUUAAAUAUACAGGUAUAGGAAGGUCUGAGAACACUAAACAGAAUCAAUGCAAUUAAGACCACUUCCAGACAUAUAGUAAUUCAUCUCAAAGGUCAAGAACAAAGAGAGGAUCCUAAAAGCAGCAAGAUAAAUAAGGCAAAUAACAUUAAAAAGCUCCAAUUUGGCUGGUCUGAAGGUAGUGAGACAUCUCAACUGAUUGUUCACAGUUACAGAUCGAACUCCUUGCUCUACUCUUUUCCCCCUUCUCACUACUGCACUUGACUAGUCUUGUGAAGGAAGGGAGGAGCAGG